GCUAUAUAUCUAAGAAAUUAGAUCAGCCACUAUGUUGUCACUCCUCUUAAGAAAUUUGUUCUUGCUGAUCUUUUAUUUAGGACUUGCAUUAUUUAGAUGAUUAAAGAGUACUAAGUUUGACAUGGAUUUAGAUUAGAGUUACACAGCAAUCGUAUGGUAGAAUAGUAGAAAAGACUCAGUGUGCAUAUUUAAUUAAGAAUGAAGGUGCAUCAAGUUUGGAGAAUGAA
Molecule: long non-coding RNA, 227 nt
Filed under: Elaeis guineensis (African oil palm)
Lineage: Eukaryota; Viridiplantae; Streptophyta; Magnoliopsida; Arecales; Arecaceae
Description: long non-coding RNA (EGUI_LNC049227)
Source: RNAcentral